This is a long non-coding RNA of Myzus persicae (green peach aphid), 1241 nucleotides long. RefSeq lists it as uncharacterized. NCBI's taxonomy places the organism in Eukaryota, Metazoa, Arthropoda, Insecta, Hemiptera, Aphididae. The record is from RefSeq and is a predicted model, not a curated record. The transcript is spliced from 2 exons.
GUGUUUUACAUCAGAACAUUAUAAAUAAUAUCACUUUACUACUUUAGAUACUGAGCAGAGUGAAUUAGUACUUUUGAGUCUUAAAGAGGUAACAAUUGAAAGUUCCUAUUACUUUUCUUAAUAAUGAUCGCGAUGAAGAAAAAAUCAUGGAAAACAGGAAUUUUUAUCAUUUUUAAUACCUACCAGUUUUCGACAAAUCCGAUAUUGUUUAUUCAGGGGUGGAUUGGGCAAGUGUGCUACUAUACAAAAUUGGAUAGAUCAUCGAUGUCAUAUUAUGUCCGCGGGGCUGACAAAAAAUAAUCCACUUGGUGUAAUAUUAUUAUUUUUGAAGAUUUUUUACAUAUAUUUAGAACACCUUGGUAGACGAUAGUGGACCAAUAUGAAACACUGCACAAAAGAUUAAAGACUAAGAAGUAGGGCCCGGAUUUGAAUACAAAAUGCGUUGAAAAUCUUAAGAAAACAUUGUUGGUUCAAUUCGACAACUUUAACAGAUUUUUUAGUUACUUUCCAAAACUUUUCAAGAAACACAAAAAACCACCGAAGGCAUCUGGUUUUUCAAUGGCAAAAAAAACCCAAACAGCUUCCAGUUGCAUUAUAUUUUACUAUAAAAAAGAGUGGUCGGAUUUGUCUCGUUCUUAUACAGAUUAACUCAUAAUUUUUUCUUUAUUAAAUUCAAUCAUAACCCAAUUUUGACAAAAAUGGAGAUGGCUGCUUGUUGCACAGACCUUUUCACUGCUUAUUUGCAUUAAGUACUGAUGAACUUAACAUUGAAAAAAUAUAUAUCCACUAAAUAAUUUACAGUAAACAAAGGUAUGAAGGGUUUUCAUUUGAAAAACAGAAGUUUGCAAUAGUACACUUCUUCAGUAAUACAACAGAUUUCAAGUAUUUAAAAAUAUGAUCUUUAAAUAUAUUUAAAAAUUCCAAAAAUUAGAAUUCGAUAAGUUCAUCAUUAAAUGAAAAAUGUAUGCAUAUUUAUGGAAUACUUGGUUUAUACAGUUUAUACAUAAUUGAAGACUAACGGUUAACUGAAGAAAUGAUUAUAUAAUACUUAAUAAUUUUACAUAGACUAAAUACUGUGCACUACAUCAAUUAUUAAUGUAAUAAUUUUUAUUUUUAUUAAUAGUUAUUCUUAAUCUGUCUAUAAAAUCUCCUUGUAUAAUUUAUUAUCAAUUAACUAUCCUGCUAAUUGUUUGGUUUUCAAUUCACUUAUACAGUAGUUCUUAACAUUUAUAAUAUAAUAA